This 494-nucleotide ribosomal RNA is filed under the name uncultured bacterium. RNAcentral describes it as "partial 16S ribosomal RNA". It matches the Rfam family "Bacterial small subunit ribosomal RNA", at positions 28 to 507 of the family's 1533-position model. The record is from RNAcentral.
GACGAACGCUGGCGGCGUGCUUAACACAUGCAAGUCGAACGGAAAGGCCUGCUUUCCCUUGUGGAUUGCGGGUACUCGAGUGGCGAACGGGUGAGUAACACGUGAGUGAUCUGCCCCCAACUUGGGUAUAAGCCUGGGAAACUGGGUCUAAUUCCCGAUAGGACUGCAGGGUGGUGCCUGUGGUGGAAAACGAUUUUCUAGUGGUUGGGGAUGAGCUCGCGGCCUAUCAGCUUGUUGGUGGGGUAAUGGCCUACCAAGGCGGCGACGGGUAGCCGGCCUGAGAGGGUGGACGGGCACAUUGGGACUGAGAUACGGCCCAGAAUCCGACGGGAGGCAGCAGUGGGGAAUAUUGCACAAUGGGCGGAAGCCUGAUGCAGCGACGCCGCGUGGGGGAUGACGGCCUUCGGGUUGUAAACUCCUUUCGACCGCGAGGAAGCCACCUGGUUGGAAGGGUGGUGACGGUAGUGGUAGAAGAAGCACCGGCUAACUACGUG